RNAcentral lists this ribosomal RNA (680 nucleotides) under Piromyces sp. RNAcentral's name for it is "partial large subunit ribosomal RNA". It matches the Rfam family "Eukaryotic large subunit ribosomal RNA", at positions 85 to 616 of the family's 3401-position model. The record is from RNAcentral. Lineage: Eukaryota; Fungi; Neocallimastigomycota; Neocallimastigomycetes; Neocallimastigales; Neocallimastigaceae.
AACGGCGAGUGAAGCGGGAAGAGCUCAAAUUUGAAAUCUUCAAGGUUUUACCUUGACGAAUUGUAGUUUAAAGAAGUGUUUUCUGUUGAAGUUUUGGUAAAAGUUCUUUGGAAUAGGACAUCAUAGAGGGUGAGAAUCCCGUAUUUGACCAUUAUUUUCAGCUGUGUGAUACACUUUCAAAGAGUCGGAUUGUUUGGGAAUGCAGUCCAAAAUGGGUGGUAAAUUUCAUCUAAAGCUAAAUAUUGGCGAGAGACCGAUAGCGAACAAGUACCGUGAGGGAAAGAUGAAAAGAACUUUGAAAAGAGAGUUAAACAGUACGUGAAAUUGUCAAAAGGGAAGCGUUUGACACCAGUGUUGUUUUCUCGAAAAUCAAUUAAAAAGAGUUGGAUUUUGUGUUGUAUUGACCUUAACAGCUUUCUUCACUCUUUUCCUGCUUUUUUUAAUGCACUUUUCGUUUAACAAGUCAACAUCAGUUUCUUUUGUUGUAAAAAGAUCAUUGGAAGGUGGCUUUCUUUUCGGAGAAAGUGUUUAUAGCCUUUGAUCCCUGCAAUCGGAGAGACUGAGGUCUGCAGCGUAGACUCUUCGGGGUUAGAUACAUUUGUGCUAAGUUAUAGCUUUUCAUAGACAACUUGUUGACUAUGUUUAGUCUUGUAGCUUACUCGCUUAUGCUAUUUACCUAC